Molecule: small nucleolar RNA, 92 nt
Organism: Tursiops truncatus (common bottlenose dolphin)
Lineage: Eukaryota; Metazoa; Chordata; Mammalia; Artiodactyla; Delphinidae
Gene: SNORD116
Rfam family: Small nucleolar RNA SNORD116
About the family: HBII-85 is a member of the C/D class of snoRNAs, which contain the C (UGAUGA) and D (CUGA) box motifs. HBII-85 is encoded in a tandemly repeated array with another C/D snoRNA, HBII-52, in the Prader-Willi syndrome (PWS) region of chromosome 15.
Source: Ensembl
GGAUCGACGAUGACUCCCACAAAUGAAUUCCUUGGAUAUCUGAACAAAAUGAGUAAGAAAUCCGUAGCGUCACCUCAUUGGAACUGAGGUCC